Molecule: unclassified non-coding RNA, 218 nt
Filed under: Hevea brasiliensis (rubber tree)
Lineage: Eukaryota; Viridiplantae; Streptophyta; Magnoliopsida; Malpighiales; Euphorbiaceae
Source: RNAcentral
GAAGGAUUGCUUUCCUUGUUUCUGUGGUAAAAACGCAUGCUUUCAGUGUUUGAUAUUAGCACACAGCGUGGACAGAUAAUGGAGGGCUCUGGGAAGUCAUUUGUUUUGUAGAUGAUGUCUAUUAUUAUGCAAUCUGUUAUGCCAUUUCUUUGAAAAUUAUCAAACAUUUACUGGAACUAUUUGUGGAUGAUUGUAUGAAAUAAAUCUGAUUGCCUAAU